CAGUGAUGCUUAAAGAUCUGUAGUAUGGUUGGACCAAAUUGUAAUUGAAAUCCUAAUGCUGGUACAGAACUAUACAGUAUUAUAUUUAAGGAUCCAGUGCCUCAUUUAAAGUAAAAUAUCAAUAAGCACAUUCUGAGGGUAAAAGGUAAACUUCUAGCGAGAGAAAGCAGAAACACCAGGGUAUUGGACAUAUACUGACAUUGAUAUAGCUAGGAUGUAAGCUUCAGAGACAGUCCUCACCUCUUGAGAGGUAUUUCUGACAGUUUGGAUUGGCAGUUCAUGAAGACCCGUAAGUUAACGUUUACCAGCUGCUUCAAAACCUGCAGGAGAGGAGCUAGUUUUUGUGCGUCCCUGGUUACAGGAUCCACCACGGCAACAACAUCGAAGUACACGUCUCCCUCCUUUGGGCGGAUCUUCACAGCACUGCCAAAAAAAUCAGCAAAUCAAUGAUGAAGCGAAUUAAACACAAACAAGAUUUUCAAGGCUGUUGCUGGGUUGAACACACUGAUUUUAAAAAUGUAUUCUGUAUUUUCAUUAAGUUUGAAGGUAACGUUUUAUACAGUAUUUGGUGAAGAUGGUCCAAUAUUUUAUUGAACCAAAAAUUCAAAAAA
Sander lucioperca (pikeperch) is the source of this 611-nucleotide long non-coding RNA. RefSeq lists it as uncharacterized. The transcript has 2 exons. The record is from RefSeq and is a predicted model, not a curated record. Lineage: Eukaryota; Metazoa; Chordata; Actinopteri; Perciformes; Percidae.